This 279-nucleotide ribosomal RNA is filed under the name uncultured bacterium. RNAcentral describes it as "partial 16S ribosomal RNA". It matches the Rfam family "Bacterial small subunit ribosomal RNA", at positions 506 to 784 of the family's 1533-position model. The record is from RNAcentral.
UGCCAGCAGCCGCGGUAAUACGGAGGGUGCAAGCGUUGUUCGGAUUUACUGGGCGUAAAGAGCGCGUAGGCGGCUUCAUAAGUUAAGGGUGAAAUCCCGGGGCUUAACUCCGGAACUGCUCUUAAAACUGUGGAGCUAGAGACAAUCAGAGGUGGGUGGAAUUCCAGGUGUAGAGGUGAAAUUCGUAGAUAUCUGGAGGAACACCGGUGGCGAAGGCGGCCCACUGGGAUUGUUCUGACGCUGAGGCGCGAAGGCGUGGGUAGCGAACGGGAUUAGAUA